GUCGAGCGGAUGACGGGAGCUUGCUCCUUGAUUCAGCGGCGGACGGGUGAGUAAUGCCUAGGAAUCAUGCCUGGUAGUGGGGGACAACGUUCCGAAAGGAGCGCUAAUACCGCAUACGUCCUACGGGAGAAAGUGGGGGAUCUUCGGACCUCACGCUAUCAGAUGAGCCUAGGUCGGAUUAGCUAGUUGGUGAGGUAAAGGCUCACCAAGGCGACGAUCCGUAACUGGUCUGAGAGGAUGAUCAGUCACACUGGAACUGAGACACGGUCCAGACUCCUACGGGAGGCAGCAGUGGGGAAUAUUGGACAAUGGGCGAAAGCCUGAUCCAGCCAUGCCGCGUGUGUGAAGAAGGUCUUCGGAUUGUAAAGCACUUUAAGUUGGGAGGAAGGGCAGUAAGUUAAUACCUUGCUGUUUUGACGUUACCGACAGAAUAAGCACCGGCUAACUCUGUGCCAGCAGCCGCGGUAAUACAGAGGGUGCAAGCGUUAAUCGGAAUUACUGGGCGUAAAGCGCGCGUAGGUGGUUCGUUAAGUUGGAUGUGAAAGCCCCGGGCUCAACCUGGGAACUGCAUCCAAAACUGGCGAGCUAGAGUAUGGUAGAGGGUGGUGGAAUUUCCUGUGUAGCGGUGAAAUGCGUAGAUAUAGGAAGGACCACCAGUGGCGAAGGCGACCACCUGGGACUGAUACUGACCCUGAGGUGCCAAAAGCGU
RNAcentral lists this ribosomal RNA (709 nucleotides) under Pseudomonas sp. SYC4 IG. Its description in RNAcentral is "bacterial SSU rRNA". It matches the Rfam family "Bacterial small subunit ribosomal RNA", at positions 61 to 762 of the family's 1533-position model. The record is from RNAcentral. RNAcentral also lists the same sequence under 1 other name. Lineage: Bacteria; Pseudomonadati; Pseudomonadota.